This 253-nucleotide ribosomal RNA is filed under the name uncultured bacterium. Its description in RNAcentral is "partial 16S ribosomal RNA". It matches the Rfam family "Bacterial small subunit ribosomal RNA", at positions 524 to 776 of the family's 1533-position model. The record is from RNAcentral.
UACGUAGGGUGCGAGCGUUGUCCGGAAUUAUUGGGCGGAAAGGGCUCGUAGGCGGUUUGUCGCGUCGGGAGUGAAAACCUUGGGCUUAACUCAGGGCUUGCUUUCGAUACGGGCAGACUAGAGGUAUGCAGGAGAGAACGGAAUUCCUGGUGUAGCGGUGAAAUGCGCAGAUAUCAGGAGGAACACCGGUGGCGAAGGCGGUUCUCUGGGCAUGAUCUGACGCUGAGGAGCGAAAGUGUGGGGAGCGAACAGG